GAUGAACGUUGGCGGUGUGCCUAAUACAUGCAAGUCGAACGGAGCUAAUAGCAAUAUUGGCUUAGUGGCGAACGGGUGAGUAACGCGUUGGUGAUCUGCCUUGAAGUGUGGAAUAACGUUCCGAAAGGAUCGCUAAUACCGCAUGUGCUCUCGAUUUUCAGAAAGUUGAGAGUAAAGGAUUUAUUCGCUUCAAGAGGAGCCUGCGUCCCAUCAGCUGGUUGGUAGGGUAACGGCCUACCAAGGCUAUGACGGGUAGGGGACCUGAGAGGGUGGCCCCCCCACAAUGGAACUGAAACACGGUCCAUACACCUACGGGUGGCAGCAGUAGGGAAUAUUAGAAAUGGACGAAAGUCUGAUCUAGCAACACCGCGUGUGCGAAGAAGGCCUUCGGGUCGUAAAGCACUUUUUGGAAGGAAUAGGAAGGAAUGUACUUCCAGAAUAAGUCUCGGCUAACUACGUG
RNAcentral lists this ribosomal RNA (460 nucleotides) under uncultured bacterium. RNAcentral describes it as "bacterial SSU rRNA". It matches the Rfam family "Bacterial small subunit ribosomal RNA", at positions 28 to 507 of the family's 1533-position model. The record is from RNAcentral.